This 389-nucleotide ribosomal RNA is filed under the name uncultured bacterium. RNAcentral describes it as "bacterial SSU rRNA". It matches the Rfam family "Bacterial small subunit ribosomal RNA", at positions 9 to 416 of the family's 1533-position model. The record is from RNAcentral.
GAGUUUGAUCGUGGCUCAGGACGAACGCUGGCGGCGUGCCUAAUGCAUGCAAGUCGCACGCGCCGCCUUCGGGUGGUGAGUGGCGCACGGCUGAGGAUCACGUGGGAACAUGCCUCUCGGUGGGGGACAACAGCGCGAAAGCGCUGCUAAUCCCGCAUACGCUCACGCAAGUGAGGAAAGCCGCAAGGCACCGGGAGAGUGGCCCGCGGCCCAUCAGGUCGUAGGUGGGGUAAUGGCCUACCUAGCCGAUGACGGGUAGCUGGUCUGUGAGGACAGACAGCCAGACUGGGACUGAGACACGGCCCAGACUCCUACGGGAGGCAGCAGCAAGGAAUUUUCGUCAAUGGGCGCAAGCCUGAACGAGCAACGCCGCGUGCAGGAUGACGGCC